CAGUAAGAUGGAGAGGACGGCGAGUGGCCAAAUGAGGUAGCUGAGCCAUUGAAGCCAGCUUGGAAUGUGGCUCAUGAUCUGAGGAAUCCAAUCAUUCAAUUGGGUGAAAAGCCACCAAAAAGCGCCGCCCAUCAGCACGAUAUUCAUGAGUAAAGGAAGAAUAACGAAACGCCGGAUGCCCGGCAGAGAGAUCAAGCGCCAUCCGGCAAAAAAAUAGUGUACGCCGCUGCGAGUGUGGUCUGCGGUGUUGCUGUGAGACGGUUUUUCGAAAGACGGUGGUUUUUCUGGAAACGAUGAUUUUUCUGAAGACAUGGUGCCGAUAUACUCAGUCAUUUGUUUGUUAAGGCAUCAUAUCGGGAUGAUCUUAUGCUGACUAGCCCAUAUUUGGAUGAAAAAGCAGCAAAAAAGUGCGUUGUACCUAUCUUUAUUGUCAUUAAAGUACCGUGCAGGCUUGCACUUGUGUACUCAGGCAAAUAGAGU
This is a regulatory RNA element of 480 nucleotides. It matches the Rfam family "Soft rot Enterobacteriaceae Rev 42 5'UTR". Rfam says of the family: From bacteria cultured under starvation conditions. The record is from Rfam.